ACGCUCGACACCUACAGGAGGCAGCAGUGGGGAAUAUUGCACAAUGGGGGAAACCCUGAUGCAGCGACGCCGCGUGAGCGAAGAAGUAUUUCGGUAUGUAAAGCUCUAUCAGCAGGAAAGAAGAAAGACGGUACCUGACUAAGAAGCCCCGGCUAACUACGUGCCAACAGCCGCGGUAAUCUGAGCGGGCUGGCAAGGC
This 199-nucleotide ribosomal RNA is filed under the name uncultured bacterium. Its description in RNAcentral is "partial 16S ribosomal RNA". It matches the Rfam family "Bacterial small subunit ribosomal RNA", at positions 328 to 539 of the family's 1533-position model. The record is from RNAcentral.